This 246-nucleotide long non-coding RNA is filed under the name Phoenix dactylifera (date palm). RNAcentral's name for it is "long non-coding RNA (PDAC_LNC011332)". The record is from RNAcentral. Lineage: Eukaryota; Viridiplantae; Streptophyta; Magnoliopsida; Arecales; Arecaceae.
UGCCGUCUCCAACUCCAUGCAGGGCUGAUCUCUUCUCCAGGGCCGGAUGUAGCCCUAACAAAGGGCCAAGGGUUUUUAUAUUUUUAAUUUCUAUUCUUGGAGUUGUAUAAACCUUAUUCUGCUUCUAAUGAAUAUUUUAUUUCAUCUCAUAUUUAAUUUCUGUGAUUUUAAAUAUGAAGUUUAUACAACUGCUCUUCAUGAUCAUUGAAGUAAAAAUAAGAUAGUUCAUGCUUAAGGAAGAUGCGA